UGUAAUGACACCGUUGACUUUUUGUCUAACGUUUGACCAUUCGUCUUAUUAAAAAAAUUAUGUAAUUAUCAUUUAUUUUAUUGUGACUUGAUUCAUCAUCAAAUGUUUUUUAAGCACGACAUAAAUAUUUUCAUAUUUACACAAAAAUUUUGAAUAAAACGAAUGGUCAAAUGUUGAUAAAAAGUCAACGGCGUCAUACAUU
Molecule: microRNA precursor, 202 nt
Filed under: Oryza barthii
Lineage: Eukaryota; Viridiplantae; Streptophyta; Magnoliopsida; Poales; Poaceae
Description: MIR812 microRNA precursor family
Rfam family: MIR812 microRNA precursor family
Source: Rfam by way of RNAcentral